CUGCAGGUGAUUCAUUCUGAUGUGGUUUGAUUCUGACAGGUGAUUCAUUCUGAUGCGGUUUGAUUCUGACAGGUGAUUCAUUCUGAUGUGGUUUGAUUCUGACAGGUGAUUCAUUCUGAUGGGGUUUGAUUCUGACAGGUGAUUCAUUCUGAUGUGGUUUGAUUCUGACAGGUGAUUCAUUCUGAUGGGGUUUGAUUCUGACAGGUGAUUCAUUCUGAUGUGGUUUGAUUCUGACAGGUGAUUCAUUCUGAUGCGGUUUGAUUCUGACAGGUGAUUCAUUCUGAUGGGGUUUGAUUCUGACAGGUGAUUCAUUCUGAAGCGGUUUGAUUCUGACAGGUGAUUCAUUCUGAUGCGGUUUGAUUCUGACAGGUGAUUCAUUCUGAUGUGGUUUGAUUCUGACAGGUGAUUCAUUCUGAUGGGGUUUGAUUCUGACAGGUGAUUCAUUCUGAUGUGGUUUGAUUCUGACAGGUGAUUCAUUCUGAUGCGGUUUGAUUCUGACAGGUGAUUCAUUCUGAUGUGGUUUGAUGUUCUCAACACCUGGGGACAUGGUACUGUGUCCCAAAUAGCACCAUAGUCCCCUCGUAGUGCACUACAUUUGACCAGAGCCCUAUGGGAAAUACAAAGGGAAUAGGGUACCAUUUGGGACUCCUGUAGUCAGUAGUCUCCUGUAGUCAGUAGCCACCUGUAGUCAGUAGUCUCCUGUAGUCAGUAGCCACCUGUAGUCAGUAGUCUCCUGCAGUCAGUAGCCACCUGUAGUCAGUAGUCUCCUGCAGUCAGGACAACCAACAGGUGAAUAUUAUUAUUCAGACCUGGACAGACGUUAACCUGUCCUCUCCACAUCACCACCUGAAGGACAGGACAACCAACAGGUGAAUAUUAUUAUUCAGA
RNAcentral lists this long non-coding RNA (888 nucleotides) under Salmo salar (Atlantic salmon). RNAcentral's name for it is "lncRNA (ENSSSAG00000091729.1)". Lineage: Eukaryota; Metazoa; Chordata; Actinopteri; Salmoniformes; Salmonidae. The record is from RNAcentral.